CGGCCGCUCCCCCCCCCUCCCUUUCCCUUACGCAUCGCCCUCUGCGCGCAAGAGCGCCGGACGUGACUGGCUGGUUCAAUUUGUCACGCUGCCAUUGGCUGCCAGGGGCAGGGGCGGGCGCUGCGUGACGUCAGCGCGCCGCGCAGCGCGCCCGCUGGCUAUUUAUAGGCUCGGAGGGGCCGGUGCGCAGGAGCGAGCAGGCGGGUUGGGCCGGGGGAAGGCCGCGGGUUCAUCGUGCCGCAUCCCCGUGAGCGCAGGGAAGAAGCAGCCGAAACGCCUCGAUCCGGGCUCGCUGGAGCGUCCCUUCGGCGGCCGCUGAGCUUUUGUUUCCGUUUGCGCAGCUCCCGAGCGCCCCCACCGAGCUUUGUCUUCUCGCGGCCCCUGUGGGGAAAGGCGCGGCCAAGAUGGACCCCUGUCACACUGAGGAGACCGAGGGCGAGAUCCCCGGCUUGGGUGUAACCCUUGCGACUACAGUAGCGUCCAUCACUAAGUAGUGCAAGUGCUGUGAAAAGAGCCCUUCAAUAAAGCAGAAGUUGAAAGUAAA
Pezoporus occidentalis (night parrot) is the source of this 544-nucleotide long non-coding RNA. RefSeq lists it as uncharacterized. NCBI's taxonomy places the organism in Eukaryota, Metazoa, Chordata, Aves, Psittaciformes, Psittacidae. The transcript has 2 exons. The record is from RefSeq and is a predicted model, not a curated record.